Molecule: ribosomal RNA, 102 nt
Filed under: Hucho hucho (huchen)
Lineage: Eukaryota; Metazoa; Chordata; Actinopteri; Salmoniformes; Salmonidae
Source: RNAcentral
GCCAGCAGCAUACCACCCGGCAUCCCACUGCUGGCUUGCCUCUGAAGCUAAGCAGAGUUGGUCCUGGUCAGUCCCUGAAUAGGAGACCAGGUGCUGCUAGAA